AUAGGUCAAGCUACAAAGGGCGCAUGGUGAAUGCCUUGGCAUCAGGAGCCGAUGAAGGACGCGAUAAGCUGCGAUAAGCUUCGGGUAGACGCACAUAGUCAGAGAUCCGAAGAUUUCCGAAUGAGGAAA
Molecule: ribosomal RNA, 129 nt
Filed under: Clostridium botulinum
Lineage: Bacteria; Bacillati; Bacillota; Clostridia; Eubacteriales; Clostridiaceae
Also listed under: 1 other name
Description: partial 23S ribosomal RNA
Rfam family: Bacterial large subunit ribosomal RNA
Source: RNAcentral